RNAcentral lists this ribosomal RNA (445 nucleotides) under uncultured bacterium. RNAcentral's name for it is "bacterial SSU rRNA". It matches the Rfam family "Bacterial small subunit ribosomal RNA", at positions 355 to 792 of the family's 1533-position model. The record is from RNAcentral.
UGGGGAAUUUUGGACAAUGGGCGAAAGCCUGAUCCAGCCAUGCCGCGUGCAGGAUGAAGGCCUUCGGGUUGUAAACUGCUUUUGUACGGAACGAAAAGCCUCUUUCUAAUAAAGAGGGGUCAUGACGGUACCGUAAGAAUAAGCACCGGCUAACUACGUGCCAGCAGCCGCGGUAAUACGUAGGGUGCAAGCGUUAAUCGGAAUUACUGGGCGUAAAGCGUGCGCAGGCGGUUUUGUAAGACAGAGGUGAAAUCCCCGGGCUCAACCUGGGAACUGCCUUUGUGACUGCAAGGCUGGAGUGCGGCAGAGGGGGAUGGAAUUCCGCGUGUAGCAGUGAAAUGCGUAGAUAUGCGGAGGAACACCGAUGGCGAAGGCAAUCCCCUGGGCCUGCACUGACGCUCAUGCACGAAAGCGUGGGGAGCAAACAGGAUUAGAUACCCUGGUA